This 301-nucleotide unclassified non-coding RNA is filed under the name plant metagenome. RNAcentral describes it as "partial contains small subunit ribosomal RNA, internal transcribed spacer 1, and 5.8S ribosomal RNA". The stretch from base 253 to 301 matches the Rfam family "5.8S ribosomal RNA", at positions 1 to 49 of the family's 154-position model. The record is from RNAcentral.
UUUCCGUAGGUGAACCUGCGGAAGGAUCAUUGUCGAAGCCUGCCCAGCAGAACGACCCGCGAACUUGUAUAAACAACCGGGGGCAGGGGCGAUCUCGCCCCGAGCCCUCGAACGGCAGCGAGACACUCGUGCCUUCUCGUCGAACAACGAACCCCGGCGCGUUCUGCGCCAAGGAACUUCAAUUAAAGAGUGCCUCCGGUCGCCUCGGAAGCGAUGCGAGUGUCGGCGGCGAAUCUUGUACAAACCCGUAACGACUCUCGGCAACGGAUAUCUCGGCUCUCGCAUCGAUGAAGAACGGAGC